Molecule: long non-coding RNA, 657 nt
Filed under: Citrus maxima (pomelo)
Lineage: Eukaryota; Viridiplantae; Streptophyta; Magnoliopsida; Sapindales; Rutaceae
Description: long non-coding RNA (CMAX_LNC002576)
Source: RNAcentral
UUCUCAUUUCAUAAUCAAUCUUACCCUAGUUAAUAAGGUUAAAAAGAAAAUGACAAAUGCGUUAAGUGCUUUGGUCAAUAAAUCAAUAAUUACUUCAUUCUACAUAAGCGUUCAAAUUGAAAUUGUAGGCUUCUGACGAUUGCCAUGGAAACAAAAAGAGAUUUGAUCAUCAAGAUUUACAUUGAGACUGAUAGACCGGUCCCCUAAUGGAACCCAAUAGAAGGUUGAGACGUUGAGGUAAUUAAACGGCAAGUCAAAUUGCACCGCCCACGUCUUUUGAUAAUUGAUAUAGCCGAGGCCUGAGUGGGACGUGUCUGUCAUCGUCUUCGUGGUGCAAUUCCACGAGUUCUGUAGAUAAGGCUUUAAACCCUAUGUGCUGUACUAUAUUAUGUACCAUUAGAGAGAAUUGGGUUUAUGAAGGCGUGAAGUAAUCAAUGAGUGACACUGAAAGGUAAAGACUUGUGUAAUAUUAUUUUAUGAUUAUGCCCGUUGCUCUCUAUAACGUUAUGGAGCACGUACCUUUUGUUAAAGGUUUUACAGUAGAAUAUGUACGUGCCAUCUUACCAAGCACACUUUUUCCUCUUUUUUUUUUUGGUUUCAGAGCAGAGGCAUUCUCGCGUUAAGUGGACUAGAAUUAGAUGACUAUCACUUGAGUUC